This 292-nucleotide ribosomal RNA is filed under the name uncultured bacterium. RNAcentral describes it as "partial 16S ribosomal RNA". The record is from RNAcentral.
GGACUACCGGGGUAUCUAAUCCCAUUCGCUCCCCUGGCUUUCGUUCCUCAGUGUCAGUUACAGCCCAGCAAGCCGCUUACGCCACUGGUGUUCUUCCCAAUAUCUACGCAUUUCACCGCUACACUGGGAAUUCCGCUUGCCUCUACUGUACUCCAGUCCGCCAGUAUCCAAUGCAGCUCCGGGGUUGGGCCCCGGGAUUUAACAUCGGACUUAACGAACCACCUACGAACUCUUUACGCCCAAUAAAUCCGGACAACGCUUGCAUCCUACGUCUUACCGCGGCGGCUGGCAC